Molecule: non-coding RNA, 10132 nt
Organism: Struthio camelus australis
Lineage: Eukaryota; Metazoa; Chordata; Aves; Struthioniformes; Struthionidae
Source: RefSeq, a predicted model, not a curated record
UCCACCGGCAGCGUGGCUCCCCGUCGCUGUUGCCGGUACUGGAGCGUCCCAGCACACGGUGAUAACAGAAUUCGGACAAGCCUAAAAGACAGGCGUGAAGCAACAUCCCAGUUCAGGCGCAAUUUUGGGUGCGCAGAGUACCCUCACCACCUCCAGGAAGGGUUUCCGUCCUGACAGCAGCUGCGAGUGCAUUAACAUCUGUUCUCCUGAGCUGAGAAAGGGUGAGCGUGAAAGCACUCCCUUACUGCCACAAAUUAUGCUGUCAGACUUCCUGCAUUUGGGAAACCCCAGAACAUGGGCUGAACUUCACCCCGAAGAGGAUGAUUUUGUCACCAACGCGGAGUGCUAUAGUUUGCAGGAUGAUUUUUGUCGCUGGCACAGAGUGCUGUAGUUUGCAGGCGUAGCCCCUGCAGGGUAACUGCUGUGAGAGGCGGGCAGCCCGGCGUGCUGCAAGGUCCGUGUGCCUCCCCUCUCGGUGAACGGGUUCGCUUCGGCAGGAACGGCAGUCUGGCGCAAAUUACCCUCAAGGAGCCUGCCUUAUCCACCUGCUGCAGGUGGCUGGAGGAUAGGAAACAGCUUUUGGAGUGCUUCAUGCCAACUUCCACCCUGAAAGCGGGUGGCGGAAGAUGCUUCGCUGUUAGGAGAAAACAGGUUUCUCCUUGAGCCUGGUGGGGUAAAGGUGAUGCAUUUACAUUACAUUGCCUGCUCUGCAGUUUGGUGGAGUUCCACAAAAAACUCACUCUGCAGGAACAACGGCCCCAUGUCUUAAGAGUCCAGAUAUCCCUUCCACAGUUUCUAAUACAUCUGGCUGUAGAUUUGUCUGAAGAACCAAAUGAAUUGAAUCUUGGGCUACUAAUAUUUAUUGCAUCCCCCAUGUGAUUUGCACUGAAGUCCCUCGGGGAGAGGAGACUGCACGCACAGCUACCAGUAAGUACACCCCAGCCAGUAACUGUGGAAUCAGGGCGGAAUGCCAAACUUGCUGCUCAUAACCAAGUAUCACAUAGCUUUGUCAUACAAGCAUGUUGUCUUCCCUGUCACAUAUGCAUUUUAUUUUCAUUAUCUUGUCAUUUAUUUAUUAAGUUUUAACUCUCCUUACUGGAACAGAGUCCAGUUUCAUGCAGAGACUGGUGGACUGGAGAACUAUGUUCACUAACUUUUAAAAAGUUACUUUCACGUUUUUAUUGAUUUGCCAGUUUAGCUAAAAUACUGCUGACAGUCAAGCUGAAAUUGAAUAUUUGUUGUUGAUUCAUAAUGGUGCAAACUGGCAUUUAGACUUUUCGUAAAAUUUAAAAAGUGGCCUUUGCUAAGGGAAAAUCCAAGUGGAUGUUUCAUGAGACCUAGUCUAUAUAGUAGUCAAAGAAUGUCAUUCACAUUUUUAAUUUAGUUCAUAUAAUUUAUUUUGUAAUUUGAUUACCAAAAGACAUAGGCAAUCUGACUCUUUUUUUAGCCAUGAGUAUUACAACUGUAACUUUUUAGCUACUUUUUAUAUGGAUUAUUUCCUUAGAAUUUUAAAUAGUGACAGAUGUUUCCUGACAUUACUGUGUAUGUACUUUGUUCAGUAGCUGGAUAUAUUCCUCAGUGUUAUGUCAGUGACCUGAAUUAUUCCUGCAAGAGUUCACGAGCAACGGACUGAGGGAGUUUCAUAUAUUUAUUGCACUGAGUGAAAUUUGCUUCUUCCCUUUCAGGAGCCAAUGGGAGAAGAUUUCAAAUAAUGAAAACAUUUUGGGGCUCAUCUGAACAGUAUAUAUAUUGGUAUUUGUAUUUCUUGCUUAUAACUGAGGAAUAUUUUUUAAAGGCUUAGAUGCUUCUGUGCAAGAUGCCUGCUCCAUGGCCCAGUAUGGAUUAUAGGUCUCUUUUCAUUGAUUUAUUUCACUGGGCAAUGUCGAUUGACUUGUAGAGACCUUCCUGGAGAGACAGUGAGUUGUGUCUGCCUUUUCUUUCUUGGCUAUGCUGCUGCUAGAGAGAACGUUCAUGUUCUGAUGUGGCUGCUCUUUUGCAGAUCAUGCAGCUGGCAGUGAUAUAACCUCCGCUGGUGCCCUAGGUCUGACAGGACUUAGACAUGCUGGUUCAUUCCGCAGCAGUCAGAAGACAACUGUGCUUUAGACUCACUGAGGACGAGGGGCUGAGCAGAUGAGCACCGUGCCUAGCAAUGCCAUCUCCAGUGCUGCCAUGUGGGCAAAAUGUGCUCAAAUGAGAUCUAAAAGAGUAGCUUUCUCCUUCAUCAGUAUGGUGCCGCAGUGGAGGUCAUUGCAGGCCAGUUUACAGAGCAAUCCCCAGCAAGCAGAAGCAUGAACAAGGCUGUCGGGACUGGAGAAGAGGAGAUCUGUAUUUGUAAGAAAAUGUAAUACUGAGGGAAAGUUAGCAAAGAGAGGAAGCAACAGGCUGCAGUUAGGACAUAGAAGUGAGGACGUUUAGAGUUUGCUUCUGCCAGCAGCAAAAUUCUCAUUGACUUUAACUGGACUGAAACAAAUCAUCCAAGAAAAGGAAUACAGGAAAAGGAGAGAGUGGGCCCAUGAGAGAGAAAGCUGUUUAACAACUACUGUUUAAGGGCCUAGCGGUUGAAACUGUAUUCAGCCAAAGCUGGUGAGCUGAGGAAAACAUCAUUUGCCUUGAGAACUGUGAUCAAAUCAUAAGCUGGCAAUAUUGGUGAGGAUCGUCUUGCUUACCAGAGCUGAGCUGAUGUACAGGAAUUGGCAGUGCAAAGCUACCUGUGUUGCUGUAGGUACUCAAAGGCUUUGAGUCCCCAGGAUGGUCAGCAUCCGUUUAUAUGAGUGGACGAUACACCUGUGCGAGUACCCUGCUAGACUUGUAUCCAAGCCAAUCCAGGAUUCUUCUGAAACUCCCUGUGCUAGCAGCAACAUGAAAGCAGAACUCUGCAGUGGCAGCAGCAGCUACGCUUCAGUUUUAGAAUGAAGCGAUCAGAACUUCAUGUUGUGAAGAGCCUCCGGAUGCAUUUGGCCUUCUCAGAGCUGAUUUGCAAAACCCCAUUCCUCAGGAGAUUCAGGGAAGGGGCGCCUCGUUUCUGGAUGCCGAGAGCGCAGUGGAGCAUAGUGAGAAUGCACCUCCUGAAGGUGCCACUCUGGGCAGGUGCGGAAGCAGAAAACUUGAAUGUGAACCAAGGAGAGACCACAGAGUGCAGAUGGCUGAGAGACAAGGACCUUUGUGAAUCUGGACUUCAGUGCCUGCGUUGAAUUAAAGUCUUGUUUUAAGCACUUUAUUAGAGCUUAGACCCUGCUUCAGGACCCUUGAGUGGCAGAGGCUCUCCUGUCUUCAGUGAGCUCCAAACUGUGGCUUCACAAAUGUGCGGAGACCAGGAGAGUCGAAGAAAAUGGCUGGAUAUGAAGUUGGAGAGGAGUUGUUCCCAGGACUAACUCUUGCCCUUUUGCGCCUUCUCUGUAGAGACUUGAAUGCUUCACUGCUUAGAGUUAACUCAACAGCUUCACAAGAGAUUCAAUAAUAUUUGCUUUCACCCAAAUCCCUCGAAGUCUGAGGGGAUGGAGACAGCAUCAAUUUGAGAUGAGCAGCCAAGAAAAGUAAAUCAUCCUUGGGUCAGGAUAAACUUCCAUUUGAAGUGGCCACAGAUGGCAAAUAUGUUGAUGAAUCAGCAAUUUCACAGACCUCUGCCCAUUCGGAGAGUAGCAUGUGUAAACAAACAUGAAAACAGCACAGAACCACAGAGCUUUCCAGAUCCUUCCUGUUCCCUCCGUGCUGCUGAGGGAUCUCCUCAGAGGAGCCAUAGGGAACGAGAAGGCUGAGGCACAUACGUCCUCUCAUCAUCCUCUGCUUCAGCUACGCAAGAGCCAGCGAAGAGGGUAAUGGCAAGACACUGCUCCCUGUUCACCCACCAGCACACCCAGGCGUGCGCUUCAGUAAAGGAGACAACUGCUGACAUCCUGACUGCAGGUACUCGGGGGUUGUCUUAGAUAAAGGUAAGGAAAGAAGGGCUGGGUGAGGACAUGAGCUGUUGCACCACUGUGCAGCUGCAAAGUGGUGCAGAACAGCUCUUGAACACUUGGGUUGCACGGAGCAGGCCUGCCCCAUGGGGCAGCCAAUCUUGGCAGCUGAUGGGUGGGUAGAGGUGAGGAGAAGGGCUGCAGCAAGCCAUGGUGACGCAAGCCUCCUCUGAUACCUGCACUGGAUCCGUGUGCCCACGAGCACGGGAAUCCUGUAGUCUGGGACCUUAGAAACCUGUCAGGGUCCUGAUUCCCUUACUGCAGUCCCACACCACAGUCCUGUCCCCUGCUUGUAGCAUUGUCUGACCUUCCCCCUCCAUGUGAUGCAGAACCGGCAGCAGGGGCCCCUGUUCAUCGAUGCGGAGAUGUCCUCUCAGGCUCUCAGAUGACUCAAGCAGCCCUCCCUGCAUCCUGCCCUUGAUUUAUUUUUUUUUUCUCUGACAGUGACUAAAAAUCUUAUGAAAGCACUGUGUAAUUCCAUGGCGCUCAGACUCACUGCAGGCCAAGGGUGUGUGCCUGGAACCGAGCGUGCCUCACACCACAGAACCCCCCCCCAAAGCUCCUGCUGAUCUGGUGGGGGGGAUUUUUCCUGCCCCUGUUUGAUGUUUGCCAAAUGUUAUGCCAGGCGAAUGCAACACCAGAAGGCUAUGCAGAGGACCCCCGCUUUGCUGGACUCGUGUUAUAUAUUCUAGGAUCUGCUGACUAAGGAGGGCUCCCAAAGAGACACAGUGUCACUUCCAUUCCUGUCUGAAUGCAAGCCCUGAGGGUGCUUCUGCUGUAGGAUAACAUUAAGUGAUGAGAACUGGCCAAGCCAAAGGCUGUGCAUGAAUUGUUUGGGAGACUUUUAUAGACAGUCUAUCUGGGAUAAAACACAGAGCCCGGAUCUUCAAAGCACUGUGUGGGAUGGCAGCUAUGGGACUCCCAUUAAAGUUACUAGGCAUCACAUGACUGGAAACUUCUCUGGCACCAAUGUGUUUCUGCAGAGGAAUAGCUGAGACAAAGGAAAGUGGAGGAAAACGAACUCCACCAUUCCCCCAAGAGCAACACCUCACAAAAUUUCAACCCUGAGGCCUGCCUCUUUUUUGUAAGGACCAAUUAUAGUGGUUAUCACAGGAGAUGUAAAGGAACAUCUGAGACAUUGGGAUUUAUUGUCAGCAAAGGAGACGCUUCAAAUUCCAUUGCAAAGUUGGAGACCAUCUAAUCUAACUCUGUAAAGAAGUUGAGGGAGUUAAAUGGGGUAAAUUGGAUGAAUUUGGCUGUGAAGUUUGAGCAUCUGUUCACCAUCCACAUUUGCGGAGAAGAGAGAAGGUUCUCAGAGAAUUUCUUCACAGGCAUUACCCUCCAAAGUAAUCACCUCACGUAGUGAUAAAUAUUCAAGAAAGCAGCUAUAUUUUUGAGACAGAUUCAGUCACCAAAUGGAUGAAAGUUGGUACGCUCAAAAGCCCUGGUUUAUAUUUUAGGGAGGGAGGAAAGGUGUAACCUUUUCUGUUAUUCUUCUGAAGGUUUCCUGUGGUGGUGUCCAAUCGCUAGAGUAAGUCAGUGUAGUCGCAUUAACUGACUUUUUUGGGACUGUCAGUGGUAAGGUACAAGGCAGUAGCUGGGGGCUGACUGAAUGGGCGGUGAGAGAGGAUGGUAGAGUGGACUGGAAGGGGGCUGUUUCCAGCCACAAAGCUGUGGCAGUGGGAAUACUGAUGUGCGGUGGGCGGCUGUGACGUAGGACCAGCACCUGAUGAUGAGGCCUGGAGAGAGGUUGUUUCUGAGUGGGACCACCUAGAGAAAAAGGAGCCUGCUGACAAAGUUCAGAAAGGGUGUGAAGCCUCAUAUGGCAAGAGGCUUCAAAGACGGGGUGGAAGACAGCGUGACAGAAACGAGCAGUACGGAGCAAUGAAGUCCUUGAGGGAAAACUAGCUUUAGCUAGUGAUCGUGGAGUCACAGAGUGAAAUGUUGCCCACCAGGCAAAGACCAAUGAUCAUAUCAUAGACAGGGAAAUCGAGUCAGUCUAGUCACAGCUCUUGCUGUAACUCUUAGAAGACCCUUGAUGGAUGAAGACUCAAACAGGCUCUCUUUUUCUUACUGUUUGGACAUCUUUCAGGCUUUAACAUGAACUAACUACCAUUAUCCUAAUUUUACAGAUGGGGACAGACAGGUUGCGUGACAUGCUCUAAAUCACGUGAGCAGUCUGUGUCAGAGUGAGAAACUGCACCUGGGUCUCUGAAUGGUGAGGCUGUUGCUCUUGGCACUACGUCAUCCUGACUGCAAACAAAACAGAGAGCUUGACUUUGCCUAUGUCCUUUCUGUGCCUACAAAUGUGCCCAGCUUCUGACGUGGGAGCCAGCGUGCCCGAGGCAAGUCUAGUACCUCCACAUGACGUGCAAAACCUUCAACAUGCUGAUUAGAGAGCCUAACAGGGAAAUUUCUCACUUCUAAAUGCUACUGCUGCAGUGAUCCAGCCCAGCCUCUCCUCUGGAGGGUGAGUACAGGCAGCCUUUCUGUCACAGCACUCAGCAAAGUGCAGUUUCAUCUGAAACACUGAUUACCAGCAGCCAGGAAGUGACCCACAGGUCACUGUUCUCCUCUGGGUGUUUGUACCCAUCUUCCAUGUCCAGCACAACACCCAAACCACAGGGCAAUGAGCUGGACACUCCUGGCCUGCUUUCUGCUGAGGAUCAUCUGCUCCACAGCAAUGCAUUGGUGAAUCACUGGGCCAGAAAGCAAGUGCACACGGGGGAGCAUGACUGUCUUUGCUAAUGGUUAAAGCAUUCACAUGGGAGUUCUAGGCUCUGGACUCUGCUCCCAGGACUGUUUAUGCAUUUUACAUGAAAUAGUCACUAGGUAACAUAUAAUCCCUGAUCAAAACCCUCAGGGGAUUUAGGCAAAGCAACACCCAGUUUCUGGAUCUCGAUCAGACUUAGGUGUGAAAUGGGCUGAGCUGCUUGGCCCUGUCAAGCCUGGGGCAGUUCUGGGCAUGCACAAAGGUGGAACUCUAGAUAGCUGGGGAGCUUGAAAGUUUUAGAAAAGCUGGAGAUUGAAGGGGCCAGAUAGUGAGAAGGACCUAGGAGCUACAGUGGGAUGUAUAUGCAAGCAUUUCAUUCCAAACUGAAGAUUUAGGAUAAAACAUCAGCUGCUUUAGUGACAAGGGUCUCUUAUAGGGAAACAGUUGUGUUUGUAGAUUCCUGAAAUGGAAGCUUACUUACAUCAUCCUUUUAUGCGUUUUUUUUAAAAAAUUGUCCCAUCCUAACCACUGCACUUGCAUGUAUUUAUUUCCACUAGGCUGCCUGUGCUGAGCCGCACAAUGGUGGCUGCCAUAUGAUUAACUUGUUAUUCUUACCAAGCGUGACAACUGCUGUAGCAAAAUCAAGAGCAACCUGCUCUAAUGUAAACUGAUUUCAGAUUGCCCCUGGCAGUCCCAGCUACCUCAUCUAACCUCUUUUUUUGCCAGUCUUUCUUUUUUUUUUCUUUUUUGUCUUCCACUGAAGACGCACCCUAUGCUUUCAUGUAAGGUGCUUUAUCAGGCUGGCUGUUGCACCAGUGUUCAUGACAUGCAAAGAAGCUUCUCUGCUCUUAGCCAUGGCGUGUUUUAAAGCCACUUGGAUUCUCCAGCAAAUGCAGAAGUCAGCUGCCAGUCCACUCCAGAGAUGGCUAAUGAUUAUUGGUACCCAAGAACGUUUAGCUGCGAAACACCCUAGAUGUUUGUGUCCAGCUCUUGAUGGGGCUGUUGCAUCUUGAUACCCCACCUGCACGUUUGGAGAAUGAUGUGGGACUGGAUAAACGCAGAAAAAGAGAAGUUCAUUCCCUGACAGCACUGUCACUCCAAACACAUGCCAGAUACCAAGGGGGAAGCAUUUGCCUUGGUAAAAGGGGGAAUGAUGGAUUUGGGCAGGGAGUACUGUGGGAGAAGCAGUCUGAUUUGCUGUCAUAGCUGCCAUAUUGGUGUGUAUGAUGAGUAUGAUAUAAAUUACUAUCUAUAAAUAAAUACCACAACAGCAUUUUAAUGAGGUGUUAUCUAGUAGCACUUGUCCAGGCUGGUAGUGUUAUGCUAAGACUGGAGAAGUAUCUCCGAGCAAGCUUCUUGGCUAAACCUUCAUAAACAUGGUCUCACUCAAGAUCUAACUAUGGUUUGUUUGGAUAAGAGGUUUUGUUUGUUUGUUUCUGAACAUAUUUUCAAAUGCAUAUGGGUUUUUACUUUUUUUUCUUUUUAACUUCUUGGCCCAGGUUUUGUGUUGGUGUCACAGAACCCAACUGGUGCAGAGGCAAGGGCUAAAUCUCAUGCCUUUUCUGAGCAUUGCUGUUCUGACAAGAACCACCUUGCAGAAGGGCUGGGUCAUCUGGGAUUUUGCAGGGGGACAUCUGGGACUGUAACGCACAGGAGUGUCCUGUGUCUCUCCAGAGACUGAGUCAUGUAUAUCCUUACCACUGGCCCCUCCUGUGUCCUUAGCUUCUCUUGGUGAGCAUGCACAGCUGGGGUAUUUGUAGCCAAUGCUGGUUGAAGGCACGGUCUCUUGGAUCCACGCUCCACAUUUGCAAGGGAUUGGCUGAGACCCAGCAGCCAACCCUGAGAUUUUUCCGUGGCAGUUAAGGUACUUUUCUGAGCCUUUGGCAGCCUGAGCUGCUGGGCAAAUGGCUACACGUGAGUGCUUCAUGGCACAGCAAGUCAGACGGGACAUAGCCACAUGCUCUGUAGAGUUGCGCUGUGCACAUAUGCACUAUUUAUCUGUCCGGCUCUGUAGAGUCCUCCUGCUCAGCAUUGUGUCAGAUCCCACAAGGUGGUCCCCUGCAUACCUGAGCGCACAGGCUGCUUAAUCCAUAUGUGCCAGGGUGGAUAUGGCACUAGGGGUGACCCCUGUUUUUUUAUUUGAACUGAAUAAGUCAUGGUAGGAGGCAAAUGUUGAGCUGGGGGUUGGGUUUGGAGGCCAGAUCUGUUGCUUUCACAACAUUUCAGGCCAAAACAAUGGUUUCAUCAGAAAGCCUCUCAACGUGUUAAGUUGACACCACAAGAAUGUGCAAGAACUGCAUAUAUCCAAAAGAGAGCCAAGAAAUAUGUCUUUGUCAUACUAGAUCUGAACUGAAGACUUUUUUGGCAUAUUUGAGGAUUCACAUCUGAUACAUCCUAAUGACUCCUGUGCAUUAAAGACAAGGCCUCUUUUCUGCUCAGUUUGAAGCUCUGAGACAGAAGGUUCAGUUCUUUGAUCCUUAACAUCUCUGAAAUGAAGUCUGGAUUGACUGUCUGGACUUGUGAGGCAUACUCAGAAUUCAUUCAUAUUAGAAAUAAAUAAUAACUUUCAGGUGAUGCUAUAGAGAUAACAGCUUCCAUUGUUUUUGAGGAAACAGGAACUCCAGCCAGGUCUCCCUGAUCAACAGCUGUUAAAAAAAAAAAAUCACAAAAUAAUUUAGGUUGGAAGAGGCAUCUAGAAGGCUCCAGUCCAACCUCUUCAGAGCAGGGGUUAGCUUAGGUUACUCAGGGCUUUGUCCACCAAAUUUUGAAACUCUCCAAAGAAUGGAGAUUUCACAGAUCUCUCUGGGCACCUUUUCCAGUGCAUAACUUGCUUGUGUUUUGAGCAAUUCUUUCCUUAUGUCCAACAGAAUUUCCCUUGCUGCAACUUGCAGUCAUUGCCUCUUGCCUUUUGCUAUGCACCUCUGAGAAGGGUCUGGCUCCCUUAUCUCUGAUACUGCCUAGUAUUCGGUUAGCCUUCAUCAUGGCAAAGGCACCCUGCUGACUUCUGUCAAAAUUUCUUUUCACCAGGACCCCAGGGCCUUUUCUGCAAAGCUGCUUUCUAGCUACUCAGUUCCCAGCCUGUGCUGUUGCACAGGUUUAUUGUGUCAGGUGCAGACUUUGCGUUUAUCUUCACUGAAUUCCGUGAGGUUUCUGUCAGCGCAGUCCUACAGGUUGCUGAAGACCUUCUGAAUGGCUGCCUUGUCCUCCAGCAUAUUGAUCCACGCUUCGACUUCAAUGUCAUGCACAAACUUGCUGAGAGGGCCGUCUGCCCUAUCAUGCAGGUUGCUGUUGAAGACUGGCCCUAGUCUUGUCGCUUGAGGAAUGCCAUUCCUAGCUGAUCUCCAAUUACAUGUCAAACUGUUGACUAUUACCCUUUGAGCUUUGUGGUCCAGCCAUGAGCUUUUAUCACCCAUCUUGUGGUCCACCCAUCCAGUCCAUACCACUCCAGUUUGGCUAAAAUGGGAGA